This 277-nucleotide unclassified non-coding RNA is filed under the name fungal sp. RNAcentral describes it as "partial internal transcribed spacer region". The stretch from base 1 to 46 matches the Rfam family "Eukaryotic small subunit ribosomal RNA", at positions 1786 to 1831 of the family's 1831-position model. The record is from RNAcentral. Lineage: Eukaryota; Fungi.
AAGUCGUAACAAGGUUUCCGUAGGUGAACCUGCGGAAGGAUCAUUACCGAAUGAACGUGCGUCCUCAUUGUGGUAGACUUGCCGGGUGAAAUCAACCGAGGGGGAGGAGGUUGAUAGCAUCCCCUGGCGGGGUUAGAUGUCGGACGCCGCUGGGAAGGCCUGGUCUACCACGCCUUUCACCAAACAAACAAACCUGUCGUCGUAUGUUGGGGUGGCAUCGGUUGUUGCCUUUAAAUAUAUAAAUAUAUAACUUUCAACAACGGAUCUCUUGGCUCUC